AUGGAUCUGCCUUGGAGCUUGCCACACGACCUCCUAGCGCGCCGAUCCGGUUGGUCCGGCCGCUAUAUUUAUUCUCCAUGGUCAAUAUUUGUCAAGACCAUAAGUGACCCCAAAACCAAGAAGCGCAUUUUUUUUGCCCAAGCACAAGAAGCAUGCCGAAAGGAUAUCAAGAGAGCAUUUGUUGUGUUGCAAGCUCGGUUUGCCAUUGUUCGGGUUCCUGCUCACUACUGGGAUAAGAAAUCCCUCAGAAAAAUCUUGUUUGCAUCCUCCCAGGACCCAGAUGAGAUUGAUGCAUUUCUUGAGACCUAUCCGAAGAUUGAGAACAAUUUAUGUUUUAGGUGCCCCACAAAAAAGGCUUAUGUUUCAGGUGUAAAGACGGUGAUGCAUUUGCAGCCAAGAUCACAACAUGUUUUUAUUUUUAUUUUUGCACUUCAUGUUGGGCAAAGCAGCAGCGAACCUGCUCUUCCUGGAGAGGCUCAUCGCCAUGAUGUUCCCCAAAACUACUUGUCGUGCGAGGGCAUCCAGUACGAAUCUUCGGAGUUAUCCGAGAGCCCCCAGAACUCCUCGUCCUCCUCCGACGAUGACUCAAUGGGGAUCACCAUCGAGGGGCCAGCCUCGUCCUCCUUCUUCCUCUUCUCCUCGGCAUCACGCUUCCACCAUCGCCGCCUCGUCGCUCUCGCCGGGAGUGACGACAACCGCCGGUCUCUUCUUCUUCAUCAUCUUGUUCUUCGGGGGCGGGCGGAAGCCGGAGCGGAAGCGGGCGGGUCCGGGGUGGGGCUGAGGUGGACGGGCCGGGGCAGGGCGGAGGCGGCCGGAGCGGAGGUGGACGGGGCCGGGGCGGCGCGGUGUGGCGACGGCCCAGGCGGGGUGGAAUCGGCGGCGGGGGUAGGGGCUAGGCUGGAUCUACGGCGGGGCGGCGUCGAGGAGCUGCGGUGGGGCAGCGGCCGAGCGGGGAGCUGCGGCGGGGUGGUGGCGGGCGGGAGGGAGAAGGGGGGAAAUGAACUGGAGGGCGCUCGGACGUUGGCGUGCGGCCGCGGUUUGCACCGCGAGUAA
Molecule: ribosomal RNA, 1053 nt
Filed under: Triticum aestivum (bread wheat)
Lineage: Eukaryota; Viridiplantae; Streptophyta; Magnoliopsida; Poales; Poaceae
Description: partial small subunit ribosomal RNA
Source: RNAcentral